This 443-nucleotide ribosomal RNA is filed under the name uncultured bacterium. RNAcentral's name for it is "partial 16S ribosomal RNA". It matches the Rfam family "Bacterial small subunit ribosomal RNA", at positions 338 to 795 of the family's 1533-position model. The record is from RNAcentral.
CCUACGGGGGGCAGCAGUGGGGAAUAUUGGGCAAUGGGCGCAAGCCUGACCCAGCAACGCCGCGUGAGGGAAGAAGUCUUUCGGGUUGUAAACUUCUUUUCUCAGGGACGAAGAAAGUGACGGUACCUGAGGAAUAAGCCACGGCUAACUACGUGCCAGCAGCCGCGGUAAUACGUAGGUGGCAAGCGUUAUCCGGAUUUACUGGGUGUAAAGGGCGUGUAGGCGGGACUGCAAGUCAGAUGUGAAAGCCACGGGCUCAACCUGUGGCCUGCAUUGGAAACUGUAGUUCUUGAGUGCUGGAGAGGUAGGCGGAAUUCCUAGUGUAGCGGUGAAAUGCGUAGAUAUUAGGAGGAACACCAGUGGCGAAGGCGGUUUGCUGGACAGCAACUGACGUUGAGGCGCGAAAGCGUGGGGAGCAAACAGGAUUAGAUACCCUUGUAGUC